UGGGGAAUAUUGCACAAUGGGCGCAAGCCUGAUGCAGCCAUGCCGCGUGUAUGAAGAAGGCCUUCGGGUUGCAAAGUACUUUCAGUCGGGAGGAAGGUGGUAAGGUUAAUAACCUUAUCAAUUGACGUUACCGACAGAAGAAGCACCGGCUAACUCCGUGCCAGCAGCCGCGGUAAUACGGAGGGUGCAAGCGUUAAUCGGAAUUACUGGGCGUAAAGCGCACGCAGGCGGUUGAUUGAGUCAGAUGUGAAAUCCCCGGGCUUAACCCGGGAAUUGCAUCUGAUACUGGUCAGCUAGAGUCUUGUAGAGGGGGGUAGAAUUCCAUGUGUAGCGGUGAAAUGCGUAGAGAUGUGGAGGAAUACCGGUGGCGAAGGCGGCCCCCUGGACAAAGACUGACGCUCAGGUGCGAAAGCGUGGGGAGCAAACAGG
Molecule: ribosomal RNA, 429 nt
Filed under: Chloroflexota bacterium
Lineage: Bacteria; Bacillati; Chloroflexota
Description: Chloroflexi bacterium partial 16S ribosomal RNA
Rfam family: Bacterial small subunit ribosomal RNA
Source: RNAcentral